RNAcentral lists this ribosomal RNA (513 nucleotides) under uncultured bacterium. RNAcentral's name for it is "bacterial SSU rRNA". It matches the Rfam family "Bacterial small subunit ribosomal RNA", at positions 8 to 518 of the family's 1533-position model. The record is from RNAcentral.
AGAGUUUGAUUAUGGCUCAGGAUGAACGCUAGCUACAGGCCUAACACAUGCAAGUCGAGGGGCAGCAUGGUCGAAGCUUGCUUUGACUGAUGGCGACCGGCGAAUGGGUGAGUCACGCGUGUCCAACCUGCCCUGUGCCCGGGGAUAGCCCUUGGAAAUGAGGAUUAACACCCGAUACGUGGCGCUUCCGCAUGGCGGCGCCAUGAAACCGACACAGGAUGGGGACGCGUCGGAUUAGCUUGACGGCGGGGCGACGGCCACCGUGGCGACGAUCCGCAGGGGUUCUGAGAGGAAGGUCCCCCACACUGGCACUGAGACACGGGCCAGACUCCUACGGGAGGCAGCAGGGAGGAAUAUUGGUCAAUGGCCGAGAGGCUGAACCAGCCAAGUAGCGUGCAGGAUGACGGCCCUACGGGUUGUAAACUGCUUUUGCGGGAGGAUAAAGUGCACUACGUGUAGUGCUUUGCAGGUAUCCCGUGAAUAAGGACCGGCUAAUUCCGUGCCAGCCGCCGC